AUUGAACGCUGGCGGCAUGCCUUACACAUGCAAGUCGAGUGGCAGCACGGGUGCUUGCACCUGGUGGCGAGUGGCGAACGGGUGAGUAAUACAUCGGAACGUACCUUAUCGUGGGGGAUAACGCAGCGAAAGCUGUGCUAAUACCGCAUACGCCCUGAGGGGGAAAGCGGGGGAUCGAAAGACCUCGCGCGAUUAGAGCGGCCGAUGCCUGAUUAGCUUGUUGGUGGGGUAAAAGCCCACCAAGGCGACGAUCAGUAGCUGGUCUGAGAGGACGAUCAGCCACACUGGGACUGAGACACGGCCCAGACUCCUACGGGAGGCAGCAGUGGGGAAUUUUGGACAAUGGGGGCAACCCUGAUCCAGCAGUGCCGCGUGAGUGAAGAAGGCCUUCGGGUUGUAAAGCUCUUUUGUCAGGGAAGAAACACCGGCUCUAACACAGUCCGGGAAUGACGGUACCUGAAGAAUAAGCACCGGCUAACUACGUGCCAGCCGCCGCCGUAA
RNAcentral lists this ribosomal RNA (501 nucleotides) under uncultured bacterium. RNAcentral's name for it is "partial 16S ribosomal RNA". It matches the Rfam family "Bacterial small subunit ribosomal RNA", at positions 29 to 523 of the family's 1533-position model. The record is from RNAcentral.